RNAcentral lists this ribosomal RNA (301 nucleotides) under uncultured bacterium. RNAcentral describes it as "partial 16S ribosomal RNA". It matches the Rfam family "Bacterial small subunit ribosomal RNA", at positions 509 to 807 of the family's 1533-position model. The record is from RNAcentral.
CAGUCGCCGCGGUAAUACGUAGGUGGCAAGCGUUGUCCGGAAUUAUUGGGCGUAAAGGGCGCGUAGGCUGGUCUUUAAGUGAGUGGUGAAAGGUUCGGGCUCAACCCGGACACUGCCUUUCAUACUGGGGACCUUGAGUGUGGGAGAGGCGAGUGGAAUGGUCGGUGUAGCGGUGAAAUGCGUAGAUAUCGAUCGGAACACCCAUGGCGAAGGCAGCUCGCUGGCCUAACACUGACGCUGAGGCGCGAAAGCGUGGGGAGCAAACAGGAUUAGAUACCCCAGUAGUCCCUGUCUCUUAUAC